CCUCGCGUGGGACGACCUGAUGACCAGAACAGUGCUCGGCACAUAGACAUAGUGAACGUGGAUUGGACAUCUUCAAGCGUCUGAGCGGUGUCUCUGACACAGCCAAUCUCAACCCACUCCCCUGCUUUUACCCACAAACGAGAAGACUUGGAGUCAAAAACCAGGGUUGAUUUUUAUUGCAAACCAGAGAUGUAAAAUACCCUCAUAAGUCGAAUCCGAACAUCGACUAGAGAAUCCGCGCUGCCGGCUGGGAAGAGCGCGGGACCGCAGCGCUCAGAUACCCAGAUCCUCUUCGGCCUCCGCCAUUGCCGGUAGCGAGACCCUGGGCAUGUCAUCGCGCUUCUCGGUGCCUCAGUUUCCCCAUCUGUACGGUGAAGAUCAUAUCCCCGUGCUCCCUCCCGUUCAGACUGUGGGCCCCGUGUGGGACGGGGUGGGUCUGACCUGAUUGUCUCGCGCGUACAUCAGCGCUCAGCACGGUGCUGGGCAAAUAGCCGGGACUUAAGAAAUACGGUGGUUACCAUUAA
This is a long non-coding RNA of Ornithorhynchus anatinus (platypus), 524 nucleotides long. RefSeq lists it as uncharacterized. The record is from RefSeq and is a predicted model, not a curated record. The transcript has 2 exons. NCBI's taxonomy places the organism in Eukaryota, Metazoa, Chordata, Mammalia, Monotremata, Ornithorhynchidae.